This is a non-coding RNA of Salvelinus sp. IW2-2015, 1435 nucleotides long. The record is from RefSeq and is a predicted model, not a curated record. Lineage: Eukaryota; Metazoa; Chordata; Actinopteri; Salmoniformes; Salmonidae.
UCUGUCACAUUCUCGGCUGAGUGCCCGGACAUCAUGAGUUCAUUCUACACACACAGAACAGUUAGAACGGGCCUAUAUCAACGCACCUUUCUAUGUUAUAUGAGUUACUUUUGAACAAUCUCAAGCCCAAUGUCUAGGCUUGAAGGAUAUCUUAGUACACAAGCAUUAUUAAAGUUUAACAGACAUUUCCCUCAGUGUCAAUAAACUAUAUCUUUGUUGUAAGUUACAGAAGUCAUUUGCCCUUUUCCCUGGGGCAAAGCAACUUUCCUGAAUUGACCUCGAAAAGGGCAGUGUGUAUUUUGGCAGGUGGUGUGGGAUGAAAAGUCAGUGUUUCUGUGUUGAGAAAACACUUCUCCACGUUGUCACAAAACACAGACAGCAAACAGCGCAACAAGUCAUACACUGUGUGAGAGGAACCAGCGAGGUAUAGUAGCUAGCAUCUGUGAACCUAACUAUGUCUGAGCUUGAUGUCUCCCUUGGUUACUUUCUUGCUGUUGUGGCGUUUGGUGCAGCCUUUAGAGUCCUUUUCAGAAAAUGGCCUUGUUUGAGCUUUGCAGCAGAGUUCACAACCUCAUUUGUGCUGGUGGCAUGCUGGCUGGAGGUGCAGACCAUUAUAGAGAUUGGCGAGUGGGCAGGGGUACUGGAAUCAGACGUUACUCUAACCAUACGGUUUGUGGUGCUGCUGACCCAUGGUGUGAUAUGUGCUGGAGCCACUGGAAACCCCUCCCUGACUCUGAUGAAUUUCCUGAUGCUGGAGACCCCUACACUGCACACUCUGCUGGCUUUCGCUGCUCAGUUCCUGGGGGCACACCUGGCCCUGAUUGUAGCUGGCUACUACUGGGCAAUGGAGCUCAAUGACAUGCACAUAAUUAAGAACCUGAUAUUUAGGGAGUGCAGCACAGCCCUGCGUGUCUCCCUGGUGCAGGGGGUCUAUUCUGAGUGUGUGUGUGCAUUCAUCUUCUAUCUGAUAUACCUCAGCCUGAGAUGUCGCUCUGCGUUGAUUCGGGUGCCUUUCUUUGCAGCUGUGCUCACCCUUCUCUCCCAUGCAGCCAGUGGUUAUACCUCAGCUUUCCUGAACCCCUCCCUGGCCUAUGGCCUUACCUUCUACUGUCCUGGGUUUUCCUUUACGGAGUACUCAGUGGUCUACUGCCUUGGGCCCAUUAUUGGAAUGACCCUGGCCCUUCUCCUGUACAUGGGUCACAUUCCCAGGAUUUUUGCAAAGAAUCUGCUGUAUUCCCAGAAGACCCACGUACAGGUGCCAAAGGGGGACGGAGAUAAAAAGAAAAAGUGAAAGAAAGACAUCAUCCACCUCAGCUGAGGCAAUAUAGGACAUAUGAGUGUAUUAGGAACACACUACUCAAUUUUGUUCCUAUUGGGAGAAGAUAUUUCAUUAUGCACUGAGCAUUAUAUUCAACAGCCAAUUCUCUCCUUAAGU